CAAUAGCGUAUAUUAAAGUUGUUGCAGUUAAAAAGCUCGUAGUUGGAUUUCUGGUGGGAGCGAUCGGUCUGGCGCUUAGCGCGAGUACUUGCAUCGUCUCCGGCCAUCCUUGGGGAGAGUCUGUCUGGCAUUAAGUUGUCGGGCAGAGGAUCCUCAUCGUUUACUGUGAAAAAAUUAGAGUGUUCAAAGCAGGCUUAUGCCGUUGAAUAUAUUAGCAUGGAAUAAUAAGAUAGGACUUUGGUACUAUUUUGUUGGUUUGCACACCAAAGUAAUGAUUAAUAGGGACAGUUGGGGGUAUUCGUAUUCCGUUGUCAGAGGUGAAAUUCUUGGAUUUACGGAAGACGAACUACUGCGAAAGCAUUUACCAAGGAUGUUUUCAUUAA
RNAcentral lists this ribosomal RNA (383 nucleotides) under uncultured eukaryote. RNAcentral describes it as "partial 18S ribosomal RNA". It matches the Rfam family "Eukaryotic small subunit ribosomal RNA", at positions 592 to 976 of the family's 1831-position model. The record is from RNAcentral.